Athalia rosae (coleseed sawfly) is the source of this 1338-nucleotide long non-coding RNA. RefSeq lists it as uncharacterized. The transcript is spliced from 2 exons. The record is from RefSeq and is a predicted model, not a curated record. NCBI's taxonomy places the organism in Eukaryota, Metazoa, Arthropoda, Insecta, Hymenoptera, Athaliidae.
AUUCUAAUUACUUGAUGUGUUACACAUAUCAUAGCGAUAACAUAACAUUCGUACGUGGUAUACACGCGGAUGCUAGGAAAGAGCGAAAGAGAAGAAAAAGUCUGAAUGUAAAUUUAUGUAGUUUGAAUCUAGUAAAUGCUUGUAAUCGGUAUUGAGACAAUAGCACCGGGGGAAGUUAAUUAAUUUAUGUAAUCUUUACUUUCAUCUGUUCGUAUUUGGCACACGUGGACCAAAGCCGAACCAGCAGCUACGAACCACGCCUUAGAUGCCUCGGGUGACGCGGGUAAUCAAAGGCUCUUGAAAUCUGCUCUUGGCGGUUUUUGGGUAUACCUACUUUUUCUUCGUUACUUCGCGGACGCCCAAGAAUAUUGAAGGUAGAGUGUUUCGCCGAUAAGAUCGUUGAAAUCUCUUUAAACGAUUUCGUAGUUCGAUCAUCACGAAGAAUGUCUCACAUUCCUGAAUCGUUCGGAGAAAUUGGUCCGGUUGUGUACGUAUGUACAAACAUGAAUAAGUACCCCCGUAUUUCUUUGACAAACGUGGUCCCGCUGAGGAGACAAGUGAAAGUAAAAAAUUUCAGUCACUGUAUCAGCUGCUGAUCCGUAAUACCUGAACCGCGCCCAUCUCCUCAGGAUGUGUUACACAGUCUUCAUUAUUAAGAAACGAAAGUUGUAUCAUGAAAUAAUUGCUCGGAUCAGUCUAGACUACUUGAACGGUAUAACUGUUUUUUUACAUCGCGUUUCACUCGCACAACUUGAUAAACGAAAAAAAAUGAACGAUGAUAAUUCUCCAACAAUUAUCUCCUCUUAUUCGUUCUCCCGAUCACUCGUCAUGAUCGUCGUUGAAAAAUCGGUCACAGUUACGGAAUUCACAUGCUUGCAGUUAGUGCCGGUGUCUCUGUUGCCCCUUCAAUUUAGUCUGUGAAUAUAGCUCGAAAUCGGUGAAUAUCUGUGAAAAUUCGUAGCCGCAAAAUUUACUUCGACCUCGUUGAGACUCGAGAGCAGCGAAAAUGUGUUAUCCAUGCAUCGUGUAUAAUUUUGCUGAAGGAUCGGACAAAACAUUAUGUCAGAUGAGCCUGAAGUAAUUUUAUCUCAUCUCGUUAACACCGGUUAACACGAAUUUCGGGACUGGGUUCUCAAUAUCAAAUUCUGAUCCCUUCCAUACCCAACUAAUAAGAGAAAAAAUCGAAACGCCAUUUCGGUAUUCGAGGAACAUCACCUGUUUUCUCUAACGUUUAUUGCACAUAACAGUUCAAGAACUGAUUCACUUUUAUGAAGAAAUAAUAUAAUUCUUAAUAAACUAUGAAUGUAAGAAAAUUGAUAAACGAAUUCCAAAUAUGAA